RNAcentral lists this long non-coding RNA (1620 nucleotides) under Homo sapiens (human). Its description in RNAcentral is "HSALNT0285583". The record is from RNAcentral. Lineage: Eukaryota; Metazoa; Chordata; Mammalia; Primates; Hominidae.
GGAGGGAUCAGGUGACAUCAGGCAGCUCUCCUGGAAUUGUCUUGUAUAAAACCAGAGGAUAUCUGUCCCUCAGUUCUCCUUUCUGUGGGUACCCUGACUUUCUCACCUUGGCGUCUCCCCUCACAGUAUUUCUUUCCUGGUUACUUUACUUAUAUGAGUAUGGAAGAAUAAAUUUCCAAGUAUGUUCACAAGGCUGUUUUCUCCAACAUGAAUAGAAUAAUAGAUCCUCUAGUGACCUGUAGCUCAUCUGGCUGGUGGAAAAAUGAGAACCAGGUACCUCCAUUCUGGCUGCACACAGCUAUGCCAUAUUGAUGUUCUGGGCAUAAGGACAAAUCAUUCUUGGAUGUGGCUACCUUUUAAUCUACCAAGUCACUUUCUUCUGGGUGGACAUUAAUACCAUAUGAUGCACUUGUCUCUCUCUCUCACUCACACACCUCCUACAGAAAGUAGGUCUUUACAUAGCCUCAAAGCUACUUCUGUUUCAAGAAAACAGUAGGGGGGAAAAAGGAAGAACCCUCAUGUUCAAAGAGAAGGGACAUGGUAAAUAAAUGAUGUUCUUGCCACCUCCAGGAAGACACAUGGGCAACUGAGCAGUUAUUAGGAAAUGAAAAGAAUCUGGGAGUAUGUUGACUCUGAACAGAGAGGCAAAGUCCAGGAGAUGUGUUUUGUGAAAGCUACAAAGUAUAAGAAAGUCUAUCACAUGUAAGCUUCUUGGUGUCAAAGCACACAUACCUCUGCAUUUGCCUUCAUUCACACUGGACACUAAAAACACACAAGGAAAAAUCACAUCUAAUUCUCACUGUAGGCAGAGUCAGGAGGAUGAAUAGAAGGCAGAGGGGAAACCUGGGAGUGUCCAUCAUGCAGUGUUAAGGGCUACCACUUAAUUGGGAGGAAUCUCUAUCCACAGUGGCAUCUCCAAGGUGGUUAUGGGAGAAAGGAAGACAAAAAGAAGAAAACACACAGAUUCACAUACACAAUUAAGGAAGAAAGUAGAAGCAUGUGUGUUGGCAUGCAUACAUGGAUGUAUGAAUGCAGAAACAAGUGAAUGUGGGGGUGCUCCAGGGAGAGAAGAGCCACACUUUCAGGUAGAGCUUCCUCGAAGGGGCUGCAGAACCAAAGGUCCCCACCAAGAUCACCUGUCUGUGUGGAGCCACUGGGCCCACUUUUCUGACACAUGGAACACCAAUCUGGAUCAGGAGUGCCUACCUGAGAACCUUGGAGGUAAGCCAGGGUAUUAUCCUCCCAGUUGUAAAGCUGAUCAUACAAAUUGGGUCAUCUUGUCAUACGCAACUAAAACAGAGGCAAGCGACCAGGGGCAAAGCCACUUAGGGCAUAUAACAUUGCUUCAACGAUGUGAUUUUUUUGCAAUCCUGACCUCUGUAAUGACCAGCUGUAACCUGAAAACAGUUUUUUCUAAUAGCUACUGAAACAAUCUGCUCAACUCUAAGACUUGUUUUACACAUGGCCGUCACUCACCCAUCAAAGCUUGCCAGCUCUUUGAAACUUUGCUGGUGCUAAUAAACUUUCUGGAAAACAAUACAUAACAUUUCACCUUUUUCUAAAACCUCCAACUUUUGUCUGCUCUUUGAAAAUACCAAAGUCUACCUAGUCUGUGAGUAC